RNAcentral lists this unclassified non-coding RNA (233 nucleotides) under Glomus sp. RNAcentral describes it as "partial contains 5.8S ribosomal RNA and internal transcribed spacer 2". The stretch from base 1 to 71 matches the Rfam family "5.8S ribosomal RNA", at positions 84 to 154 of the family's 154-position model. Lineage: Eukaryota; Fungi; Glomeromycota; Glomeromycetes; Glomerales; Glomeraceae. The record is from RNAcentral.
GUGAAUCAUCAAAUUUUUGAACGCAAAUUGCACUCUCUGGUAUUCCGGAGAGUAUGCCUGUUUGAGGGUCAGUUUAAAUAAAAAUCGGUGUGGUUGCUGCCUUUCGUGGUAACGCCCCGGUUUUGGUUCGUCUUGCCUUCGGUUAAGUGACCUAAAAUUUUGCAUGAUUUUUUUCGAACGUAUUUAAAUGUUUUUCCUUACGUUUGCGUUAUCGAUUACUAGGUUUGUUCUUC